CAGUCGCCGCGGUAAUACGGAGGGUGCAAGCGUUAAUCGGAAUUACUGGGCGUAAAGCGCACGCAGGCGGUCUGUCAAGUCAGAUGUGAAAUCCCCGGGCUUAACCUGGGAACUGCAUUUGAAACUGGCAGGCUAGAGUCUUGUAGAGGGGGGUAGAAUUCCAGGUGUAGCGGUGAAAUGCGUAGAGAUCUGGAGGAAUACCGGUGGCGAAGGCAGCCCCCUGGGCCAACACUGACGCUCAUGCACGAAAGCGUGGGGAGCAAACAGGAUUAGAUACCCGAGUAGUCCCUGUCUCUUAUAC
This 301-nucleotide ribosomal RNA is filed under the name uncultured bacterium. RNAcentral's name for it is "partial 16S ribosomal RNA". It matches the Rfam family "Bacterial small subunit ribosomal RNA", at positions 509 to 807 of the family's 1533-position model. The record is from RNAcentral.